This 551-nucleotide ribosomal RNA is filed under the name uncultured Glomeromycotina. Its description in RNAcentral is "SSU rRNA". It matches the Rfam family "Eukaryotic small subunit ribosomal RNA", at positions 548 to 1098 of the family's 1831-position model. The record is from RNAcentral. Lineage: Eukaryota; Fungi; Glomeromycota.
UUGGAGGGCAAGUCUGGUGCCAGCAGCCGCGGUAAUUCCAGCUCCAAUAGCGUAUAUUAAAGUUGUUGCAGUUAAAAAGCUCGUAGUUGAACUUCGGGGUUUACCCAUUGGUCAGGCUUAAUUGUCUGUACUGGUGAGAUAAAUCUCUGCCUUCUGAGGAACUUUCAUGCCAUUUAGUUGGUGUGAUAGGAAAUCAGGACUGUUACUUUGAAAAAAUUAGAGUGUUUAAAGCAGGCUAACGUCUGAAUACAUUAGCAUGGAAUAAUGAAAUAGGACGGAUUGGUUCUAUUUCGUUGGUUUCUAGGAUCACCGUAAUGAUUAAUAGGUAUAGUUGGGGGCAUUAGUAUUCAAUUGUCAGAGGUGAAAUUCUUGGAUUUAUUGAAGACUAACUAUUGCGAAAGCAUUUGCCAAGGAUGUUUUCAUUAAUCAAGAACGAAAGUUAGGGGAUCGAAGACGAUCAGAUACCGUCGUAGUCUUAACCAUAAACUAUGCCGACUAGGGAUCGGACGAAGUUAAUUUUAUAAUGACGCGUUCGGCGCCUUACGGGAAAC